CAGAGGGUGCAAGCGUUGUUCGGAAUUACUGGGCGUAAAGCGCGUGUAGGCGGUUUCGUAAGUCCUGUGUGAAAGCCCUGGGCUCAACCCAGGAAGUGCGCAGGAUACUGCGGGACUGGAGUGACGGAGAGGAUGGCGGAAUUCCCGGUGUAGAGGUGAAAUUCGUAGAUAUCGGGAGGAACACCUGUGGCGAAGGCGGCCAUCUGGACGUCAACUGACGCUGAGACGCGAAAGCAUGGGGAGCAAACAGGAUUAGAUACCCUGGUAGUCCAUGCCUUAAACGAUGGAUGCUAGAUGUCGCGGGUAUUGACCCCUGCGGUGUCGACGCUAACGCAUUAAGCAUCCCGCCUGGGGAGUACGGCCGCAAGGUUA
RNAcentral lists this ribosomal RNA (372 nucleotides) under uncultured organism. RNAcentral describes it as "bacterial SSU rRNA". It matches the Rfam family "Bacterial small subunit ribosomal RNA", at positions 526 to 896 of the family's 1533-position model. The record is from RNAcentral.